UACCAGCUCUCCGAGUGGUAGGGGUGAUUAUUGGGCUUAAAGCGUCCGUAGCCGGCUUGGCAAGUUUCCUGUUAAACUCUGCGACUUAAUCGUUGAAUCGCGGGAAAUACUACUAGGCUAGGAGGCGGGAGAGGUCAACGGUACUUCUGGGGUAGGGGUGAAAUCCUAUAAUCCCGGGAGGACACCAGUGGCGAAGGCUGUUGACUAGAACGCGCUCGACGGUGAGGGACGAAAGCUGGGGGAGCGAACCGGAUUAGAUACCCGGGUAGUCCCAGCUGUAAACGAUGCGGGCUAGGUGUUGGGAUGGCUACGUGCCAUUUCAGUGCUGCAGGGAAGCCAUUAAGCCCGCCGCCUGGGGAGUACGGCCGCAAGGCUGAAACUUAAAGGAAUUGGCGGGGAGCACCACAAGGCGUGAAGCUUGCGGUUC
RNAcentral lists this ribosomal RNA (427 nucleotides) under uncultured archaeon. RNAcentral's name for it is "bacterial SSU rRNA". It matches the Rfam family "Archaeal small subunit ribosomal RNA", at positions 474 to 903 of the family's 1478-position model. The record is from RNAcentral.